This 841-nucleotide ribosomal RNA is filed under the name uncultured Gammaproteobacteria bacterium. RNAcentral describes it as "bacterial SSU rRNA". It matches the Rfam family "Bacterial small subunit ribosomal RNA", at positions 33 to 865 of the family's 1533-position model. Lineage: Bacteria; Pseudomonadati; Pseudomonadota; Gammaproteobacteria. The record is from RNAcentral.
ACGCUGGCGGUAUGCUUAACACAUGCAAGUCGAACGGAAACGAUACUAGCUUGCUAGUAGGCGUCGAGUGGCGGACGGGUGAGUAACGCGUAGGAAUCUGCCUGAUAGUGGGGGAUAGCCCGAAGAAAUUCGGAUUAAUACCGCAUAAUCUAUUCGUAGUAAAGUGGGGGACUUUCGAGCCUCACGCUAUCAGAUGAGCCUGCGUAAGAUUAGCUUGUUGGUAGGGUAAAAGCCUACCAAGGCGACGAUCUUUAGCUGGUCUGAGAGGAUGAUCAGCCACAUCGGGACUGAGACACGGCCCGAACUCCUACGGGAGGCAGCAGUGGGGAAUAUUGGACAAUGGGGGCAACCCUGAUCCAGCAAUACCGCGUGUGUGAAGAAGGCCUGAGGGUUGUAAAGCACUUUCAAUUGUGAAGAAAAGUUAGCGGUUAAUAACCGUUAGCCUUGACGUUAACUUUAGAAGAAGCACCGGCUAACUCCGUGCCAGCAGCCGCGGUAAUACGGAGGGUGCAAGCGUUAAUCGGAAUUACUGGGCGUAAAGCGUGCGUAGGCGGUUUAUUAAGUCAGAUGUGAAAGCCCCGGGCUUAACCUGGGAACUGCAUUUGAAACUGGUCAACUAGAGUAUGGUAGAGGAAAGUGGAAUUUCUGGUGUAGCGGUGAAAUGCGUAGAUAUCAGAAGGAACAUCAAUGGCGAAGGCAGCUUUCUGGACCAAUACUGACGCUGAGGUACGAAAGCGUGGGUAGCAAACAGGAUUAGAUACCCUGGUAGUCCACGCCGUAAACGAUGAUAACUAGCCGUUGGGGGGAUUUACCCUUUAGUGGCGAAGCUAACGCGUUAAGU